UCUCACCUGUGGGGUCUUAGCCAAAUGACUGCCAGGCUCCAGAACGAGGACAAGAAGUGGUUCCCAGAACGAUGAGAAUGACAGAGCAGCUCCAUUACAGAGAGAGAAGGAGGCCAUUCACACCAAGCUCUACAGUCUACUUCUUGGCUCACCUGAGGAGCUUUCAAACCAGCAGUUCUGGAAGCUGGCCCCAAAUCGUCUGAAUGGAAAGAGGUGCAGGCAGGAUCCCCCAGGUGAUUCACUGAGCGGCCAGGCUUGGCUCUGAAGAACCAGCAUGGAGUGCUGCCCAGGGGCCGGGUAGGAAUAAAGACGGAGAGAUGUCUACGUGUCCGACCUUUUGGGAGUUGGGUUUUGUAGGGUGCGGAGUGACUGAAGGCGGAGGAAGUCGAGGUUGUGUUCUCCUGAGAACUGUCUGCACGUCUCUCUGAACCCCUCACGACUGGACACUAAGGAG
Nyctereutes procyonoides (raccoon dog) is the source of this 454-nucleotide long non-coding RNA. RefSeq lists it as uncharacterized. The transcript has 3 exons. Lineage: Eukaryota; Metazoa; Chordata; Mammalia; Carnivora; Canidae. The record is from RefSeq and is a predicted model, not a curated record.